AGCGAACGCUGGCGGCAUGCCUAACACAUGCAAGUCGCACGGGGGGGCUUCGGCCUCCCAGUGGCGGACGGGUGAGGAACGCGUAGGGACCUGUCGAGGGGUGGGGGAUAACCGCGGGAAACUGCGGCUAAUACCGCAUGACGCCGCGGCGUGACAGCCGGGGCCAAAGGCGAAAGCCGCCCGCCGAGGGGCCUGCGUCCGAUUAGCUGGUUGGCGGGGUAGCGGCCCACCAAGGCGUCGAUCGGUAGCUGGUCUGAGAGGGUGAUCAGCCACACCGGGACUGAGACACGGCCCGGACUCCUACGGGAGGCAGCAGUGGGGAAUAUUGGACAAUGGGCGCAAGCCUGAUCCAGCAAUGCCGCGUGGGUGAAGAAGGUCUUCGGAUUGUAAAGCCCUUUCGGCGGGGACGAUGGUGACGGUACCCGCAGAAGAAGCCCCGGCUAGCUUCGUG
This 451-nucleotide ribosomal RNA is filed under the name uncultured bacterium. RNAcentral's name for it is "partial 16S ribosomal RNA". It matches the Rfam family "Bacterial small subunit ribosomal RNA", at positions 28 to 507 of the family's 1533-position model. The record is from RNAcentral.